RNAcentral lists this ribosomal RNA (253 nucleotides) under Methanomassiliicoccus sp. Its description in RNAcentral is "partial 16S ribosomal RNA". It matches the Rfam family "Archaeal small subunit ribosomal RNA", at positions 474 to 727 of the family's 1478-position model. RNAcentral also lists the same sequence under 1 other name. The record is from RNAcentral. Lineage: Archaea; Methanobacteriati; Thermoplasmatota; Thermoplasmata; Methanomassiliicoccales; Methanomassiliicoccaceae.
UACCUGCAGCCCGAGUGGUGCUCGUUAUUAUUGGGUCUAAAUCGUCCGUAGUCGGCUGCGUAGAUGCUUGGGUAAAUCGAGGCGCUUAACGUCUCGAAUUCCAGGUAGACCGCGCGGCUAGGGACCGGGAGAGGUUCGAAGUACUCCGGGGGUAGGGGUAAAAUCCUGUAAUCCUCGGGGGACUACCAGUGGCGAAGGCGUCGAACUAGAACGGCUCCGACGAUCAGGGACGAAGCCCUGGGGCGCAAACGGG